UAUCAAACGUCGAAGAGGACUAGUAGAAUGAUUUUCGUCUAUCCAAGAGAGGGUGCCGAGUGGUGAGAGGCAGCCAUAGAUGAGCAUUUGAACCUGCCUCAGAGUUCUGCAUCAGAAACGGUGCAGCGGUUUAAAACCGUUACCAUGAAAGAGAGUAAAGCUUUGCUUUGAAUGAGGGUGGUACCGCCAGGAAUGGUCCCUUAU
Molecule: non-coding RNA, 204 nt
Filed under: Bacillus sp. (in: firmicutes)
Lineage: Bacteria; Bacillati; Bacillota; Bacilli; Caryophanales; Bacillaceae
Description: Bacillus sp. T-box sequence
Rfam family: T-box leader
About the family: Uncharged tRNA acts as the effector for transcription antitermination of genes in the T-box leader family.
Source: RNAcentral